GUGCCUGCUUCAGCAGCACAUACACUAAAGUUGAAAUGAUACAGAGAAGAUUAGCAUGGCCCCUUAAAAAAAAGAAUCUUUUUCAUAGCUUCUUUAAAAAUUACU
Small nuclear RNA from Callithrix jacchus (white-tufted-ear marmoset), 105 nucleotides. The record is from Ensembl. Lineage: Eukaryota; Metazoa; Chordata; Mammalia; Primates; Cebidae.